This 45-nucleotide non-coding RNA is filed under the name Schistosoma curassoni. The record is from RNAcentral. Lineage: Eukaryota; Metazoa; Platyhelminthes; Trematoda; Strigeidida; Schistosomatidae.
AUCCGGCUGACGAGUCCCAAAUGAGACGGGACGCGCGUCCUGGAU